CCUACGGGUGGCAGCAGUAGGGAAUAUUGCUCAAUGGGCGAAACCCUGAAGCAGCAACGCCGCGUGGAGGAUGACGGUUUUCGGAUUGUAAACUCCUUUUGUUAGAGAAGAUAAUGACGGUAUCUAACGAAUAAGCACCGGCUAACUCCGUACCAGCAGCCGCGGUAAAACGGAGGGUGGACGCGUUACUCGGAAUCAAUGGGCGUAAAGAGCGCGUAGGCGGGAUAGCAAGUCAGAUGUGAAAACCUAUGGCUUAACCAUAGAACUGCAUUUGAAACGGUUAUUCUAGAGUAGGGGAGAGGUAGGUGGAAUGCUUGGUGUAGGGGUAAAAUCCGUAGAGAUCAAGAGGAAUACUCAUUGCGAAGGCGACCUGCUAGAACAUAACUGACGCUGAUGCGCGAAAGCGUGGGGAGCAAACAGGAUUAGAUACCCGGGUAGUC
RNAcentral lists this ribosomal RNA (440 nucleotides) under uncultured bacterium. Its description in RNAcentral is "partial 16S ribosomal RNA". It matches the Rfam family "Bacterial small subunit ribosomal RNA", at positions 338 to 795 of the family's 1533-position model. The record is from RNAcentral.